GCUGUACAAAUUUAAAUCUUUGCUCCCUCGCGGGUCGCGGCAUGGCAGAUUUUCAGAUAUCAUGAGUUGAGAAGGCAGCCUCUGACCUUUGCUUUGGGAUGGUUAGUUGUGUGGAACACCUUCUCAGCGACAAUUUAACAGUCAGAACAGGUAAAGAUGCAGUUGCAGCUAUACGGAAAGAUCUAGCGGAACCCACCAUUACACUGUCAUUCAUCUUCCCUACAUCCUUGCACACACGAUCCAAUAUGGACAGGAAGUCUCUCACAAUCAUGAAGAUCCUGAAAGGAUGGGCUUCUUCCUUAGCAGCAUUAUCAUGAAAAUACUCUGUCACCUCUUUCACCAAGGACAGGACCUUUCUUUCAUCAGACUUUAUGCAUGCAAUUUCCUCUUCUGCCUUUUUCAGAAACAUUUCCAUUGAUUCUAAGAAUUUCCCUUGUGCGUCCGGCUUCUGAAAUUGCAAAUCCACCCUUAUUUUCUCAAGCCCUAUUUCAAGUUUUGAGACGUAGCUGCUCAAGACAUCUGAGUCCAUCCCUGCUGCUAGUUUGACAUUACCAAGUUCUCUGCUUAAGCCAGCAACCACUUGGAGUCCUUGCUUCCUGAAAUCCUCCUCUAAUUUAGAAUUGAUUUGAUUGGAAAGUUUUUCAGCUGUAGAAUCAGAAGCUUCAGCUUCUGAUCUGACAAUCUCCUGGACGACAAAGUGGAGUAAAGUUGUCUUCCCAUCUGUGCCCCUAAUAUCUACUAAUUUUAACAGCGUAUCAAGCUUAAAAGCUUUAGCAUCACCACGAUUGGUACCGACAUUCAUUCUGUUUCCUGUCCUGAGAACUGCUUCAAGGAGUUUGAGGAACAAGGGGCUAUUCUUCAAUUCCCCACUUGCUGCCUGAAAAUGUCAUAAAUGAUUAGCAACAUCUUGAGGGAAAAAGUUAUAGAGGGAUAAACAGGGCAUGACAUUCAUAAACAUUUUUUGCUUUGAGUAUUCAAGAGUCAUAAAUAACAAGUAGGGAGAAAAUCUCUAGAGUCCAACUUUAGGAGAACAAUGGGCACUUCAAUAGCAGAAACCUCAACAAUGGUAACCUUUCAGCAAAAGGAAUAGAGUUGGAGGUUUUAUGGAAAGUUACCUCUAGAGUUUCAAAGGACUUUCUCAAAUACUUUACUUCUGUGUCAAAGUUUUCCCUGUAUAGCAUUGCUUCAACUCUUUUAAAAGCAAAUGGUAUGUCAAGUACUGCCUUAAGAAAUCUCUCUGCAGACCCUAAUUUUAAGACGUCACUUUUAUAGUCUCUUAGUUUUAUUUCUUCUUCUUUGGUUGGAGCCAUCUUUACCAAGGUUUCCAAAAGCUCAGCUCCCAAGCUGUCUGGGUUUCCUGUUGCAAACAACAUACACUGCAUGAGAUGGAGCAAGCUUAAGAUGCAGAAUCUAUUUUGCGGACAUCACAUUUUGCUUUAUUAGUAGUUUUCAUUCCUAUUUACUGUAAAUAUGCUGAGAUUCUAUUUGUAGGUUGCAUGAGUAACCUAAGGGAUUGUCUAGAAAUGCUGGUGGAAUGGCAACUAUCCUUUUGAGAAGUGUUGCUUGACAUUACCAAUAUAUUAACAUAACUGUGCUUUACACUAAAUGAAAUAGCUGGUUCAUUCAAAAUAUUUACAUUUUAAAUGAACAACUGAGAUUUGAUAUAGAUUCCACAAUGUUCUUUGGGCAUAAAUUUGCAGUCACACUAGUGGGAAAAUGAUUUUUAAGUAAUGUGCUGAAAAUUACUGUUUGACCACGAGAAGAUUAAGUUCAAAUAACUUGUAUGUUUGUAUAAUGAUGACUAUAUUCAUAUACACAACAAUUUGGAAUUGCUGGUGGAAGAUGAUUAAUAGGACAGAUUAAUAACAUGACUAUAUUCAUGUUAUUUUCUGAUCAUCUGUUAAGAGCUUCUAGAUAAUUCUUAGCCUUUAUCCUGAAUGUCUUGACAGUUACAUAUUUUCUAUCUUGUUUUGAUGAACAGACUUCUAGUCAACAGGCUCUGCAGAUAUUUCUGUUUCUCCUUGUUGAAUUUGGCUUUUUUUAAUAAAGUACCUAGCUCUUUUAUUAUGUUGAAUGAAGAAAAAGUAAAAAUACAGGAAAUGGUCUAUUUAAACUUCUUGACAUGCUUAUUCAAACUGCUGAGACACGUUAAUCUCACCACUCCAACCUAUUCAACAGAGUCAAAGCUUCUUGAAAGUGGAUCACCAAGAUGCUAGAUAGUAGGAAAUGAAAUUUUUAUCCUUACUUCCUUCAGCUUCUCUCCAUCCAAAGGUUUGUUCAAAAUGCCCACGUUUCUUGUUAAAGAGGAAUUAACCAUGUUUUAUUUUGUUUGUACUUGUAUCUGUUUUUUCUGGCAAACCUUUCUGGACAAACAUUUCACUUUGUAUUUAGAACUUAUGCAGGAGAAGGCAAAUUACAUACCAUCUAUGAGUGCUUCAGUCACCUCAUCUUGUGUCACGUUCAGAGCUCGUAAAAGUAUAGCUAUGUUCUGCGACUUCUUGGGGUCCAGCACUCUGUUUUCACGUUCAACUGGAGGAAGAACUGAUUUUCUAGUUGUCUCUUUCGGGACUGAAUUUGUGGAAUUACAUCCAAAAAGAGUCUCCAUCAUGUCCUCAUUCAACCUACAAACAAGCCAACACAUUUGCGAGGUCACAGAUUGUACCUAAUUGUACAUGCCAUGAAUGUGCAACGAGCAUACUUACUGAAAGGAGCUAGAUUUCAGCUGGUCCCACACUGUUAUUCUGUCUGAAGUUGCCCUUACUUUGUCCCAAUGCAGUGGUUUCAAUUUAGGUUUUAAUUCCUCUGUGUCAUCAGUAUCAGUCCUCUCUGAAGAACUACGACCUUUAUUAGCUUCUUCAACCAUCCUUAUUUUCUCAACUCUGGAAUUGGCUUUGGAAUCGAGAAUUACUGAUUGUUGUGGCUUUCUCAAACCUUGGGAAGAUAUUGAGCAGAUUCUUGUCUCUAAACCUCCUAAUUUCCUUGGUGCUGAUAAUGGUGGUCGUGGCGGUGCUGGAGGCGGAGGUGGAGGUGGUGGCGGUGGAGGGGGAACUGGAAUUUUAGAUGCGUGCAUUGGUUGGCUGUUGACCACCUGCAGAUGUGCCAGAUUAGGUGGUGGUGGCAGCGAAGGGAACUUUGGUCUUCUUGGAGAAUUUGAAUUAUACGAUGACUGUGGACUCUGCCUAAAUCUUGAUUCUUGGCUCUCUGCUUGAGAAGGCAGCGCUGCUGUUGGUUGUUUUGGCGGCGAUAACAGCCGAGGCUCCUUAAUUGAUGGAAUGAUGGUUUGUUUCAUGUCAAGGGAUGAAGCCGAAAGGCGCGACGACCUGGCUGAAGUCCUCUUAGAAUAAGGAUGAUGAGCACCAUUCUUGGCAUGAUUUUCAGCUCCAGCCCGAGUAACUAAGCCAUUGCCAUUGCGUGGAUGCCUUGAUCGUGAACCAUGCGCGUAAGACCCCUCUUCGUUGCUCACAGACGAGCCCUGCGGCGUGUAAAACGCGGUCUCGUGGCUCUCCUCAUCCGAUGAUGACAUUGGCGGAGGCGAAUUCAGGACUGGAAGUGGAGGCUUUGACAACGGUGGAAGUGGUUGAAGAUCUGGACUUGGCCUAUACCGAUCAGACCUUUUUGAUGAGCUGAGUUUCCGGUAUGGAGACACAUUUGCUGCAUUUGUCUCACCGACCGAUGAUCGGCUCGAUGGCUCGACCGUCCCAAUAUACAGCAAAGUUGAAGGUGGCAUUCUCGAUUCGUCGCGAAACCUCUGGGAAUUUUCUCCGACGAGCUUUUGAGAUUCACCGGAGUGCUUUGCCCUGUGCUUGUAGAGGUAGAAUGCCAAAGCUGACAACAUGCCCAGAGUGACAAUCCCAACCGAGAUUGCAAUUGCCACUUUCUUCUUGGCAGGCUUGCUGGACUGCGAGGCGAUCGAGUUCGCCACGGCAGUGCCAUUAGCCGGUAACAGGGGCGAUGGCGGCGCCGGCUGAACCUGGUCCGGGGUCGGGCCAGAGGGAGACUCAGGAAGGAAUGGCUGGUCGGGAUUGGGAAGGACAGAGCUGUCCGGCGGGGGUGGGGAUUCCUCUUCCGGCUGUGGGGUUGAAGUCACCGGAAAUAGUGGCUCGUGGAGGAUUCUUCUGGGGUUGCUUUCUGCUCCGAUCAAACGGUGGAUUGCAGCUGUGGCAGAGGCAAUAAAGGAAAGAGUUAGGAAGAGGGUGAUACGAUGAUAAUUACGAUGACGAAGAUGGGAAUGGUCCAGUUGCCAACAAGCUUCGGAAACAGAGAGAGAGGGGGGAAACCUUGUGUCUGCAGCAAGAUCUGGAUGCUCUGGCGGGUGACAUCAGCAGCAGCAGCAGCCGCAUUGUCUUUUCUUUUUUUUCCAUAUUUUUAAUGACA
Diospyros lotus (date-plum) is the source of this 4374-nucleotide long non-coding RNA. RefSeq lists it as uncharacterized. The record is from RefSeq and is a predicted model, not a curated record. Lineage: Eukaryota; Viridiplantae; Streptophyta; Magnoliopsida; Ericales; Ebenaceae. The transcript has 4 exons.